This is a small nucleolar RNA of Phymastichus coffea, 72 nucleotides long. Lineage: Eukaryota; Metazoa; Arthropoda; Insecta; Hymenoptera; Eulophidae. The record is from RefSeq and is a predicted model, not a curated record.
AAAAAAUGAUGUAAUAUUUUAUUUGAUAUUCGUGAUAGAAAUAAAUUAACGAGCUUUUUAACACUGAUUUUU